Eucalyptus grandis is the source of this 417-nucleotide long non-coding RNA. RefSeq lists it as uncharacterized. The transcript is spliced from 2 exons. The record is from RefSeq and is a predicted model, not a curated record. Lineage: Eukaryota; Viridiplantae; Streptophyta; Magnoliopsida; Myrtales; Myrtaceae.
CAGAGGAGGUGAAGUCCAAAUGUCGGAGGAUUACACAUGCAGAUCUAUACCAGAUAGAAGGUAACAGAGGAGGCGUCUAGAGAAGCUCUCUGCUGCCUUGGAAUUCAACAUCUGCUAUGGCUUCAGAUCCUCUGGAAAAUGUGGUGUAGAAUUCUCAGAAGCCUGAUUAAAAUCUUGUACAAACUGCAGGGUAUGUAAUAGGAUAUAGAAUACAGUCAAAAAGAAUGACCGUUUGAUGAAGAAAUCUUGUAAUACAUUUGGUUGGACACAGGUCAGCUUCAGUAAUGCACUGUUUAUACAGAAUUCUACAAAUGGAGUUUGAGGUGUAUGUUUUAUUAUGGAUGCCGGCCAUAAUUUUUCCUUUAUCUUUGUCAAACACAGAUUGUCUCAUCAUAGUAAAAUUUUACUUAUGGUCAA